AUGUUGAGGAGCGAUGCGGCGAGGAGGUGAAUAGGCGAGGGCGGCUGA
Molecule: small nucleolar RNA, 48 nt
Filed under: Pyrobaculum arsenaticum DSM 13514
Lineage: Archaea; Thermoproteati; Thermoproteota; Thermoprotei; Thermoproteales; Thermoproteaceae
Description: PARsR119
Source: RNAcentral